GAUGAAGAACGUAGCGAAAUGCGAUACGCAAUGUGAAUUGCAGAAUUCAGUGAAUCAUCGAAUCUUUGAACGCAUAUUGCGCUCUCUGGUAUUCCGGAGAGCAUGCUUGUUUGAGUAUCAGUAAACACCUCAACUUCCAUAUCUUUUUUGAAAUGGGAGUUGGACUUGAGUGAUCCCAACGCUUUUCCUCACCGAAAAGUGGCGGGUUACUUGAAAUGCAGGUGCAGCUGGACUUUUCUCUGAGCUAUAAGCAUAUCUAUUUAGUCUGCCUAAAAAACAGAUUAUUACCUUUGCUGCAGCUAACAUAAAGGAGAUUAGUUCUUGUGCUGACUGAUGCAGGAUUCACAAAGACAGGCUUCGGCCGACUUUGUAAACUCGAUCUCAAAUCAAGUAAGACUACCCGCUGAACUUAAGCAUAUCAAUAAGCGGAGGA
This 433-nucleotide unclassified non-coding RNA is filed under the name soil metagenome. Its description in RNAcentral is "partial contains 5.8S ribosomal RNA, internal transcribed spacer 2, and large subunit ribosomal RNA". The stretch from base 1 to 120 matches the Rfam family "5.8S ribosomal RNA", at positions 35 to 154 of the family's 154-position model. The record is from RNAcentral.